AGAAAAAAAAAACAAACCUGUCUUCAAAACCAUCAGCUCCUAUGUGUCUGUGUAAGGCAUUCAGGAAGUAUUAGGUGUUGGAACGGAGAGAGAGAGGUGCGAAGCAAUUCUAGCAGCCGCCCACAGAUUAAACUUGUUCACAUUCAACAAACUCAGCUUUUCUUCCUCUGAACGUAGAGAUCUGGAAACAUAAUAUUCACACAGGCAGCCCGGCCUGCUGCUGUAUGCAAAGCUGCUUUCGGUGAGACCCA
RNAcentral lists this long non-coding RNA (251 nucleotides) under Mus musculus (house mouse). RNAcentral's name for it is "predicted gene, 34562". The record is from RNAcentral. Lineage: Eukaryota; Metazoa; Chordata; Mammalia; Rodentia; Muridae.